AUACGGAGGAUGCGAGCGUUAUCCGGAUUUAUUGGGUUUAAAGGGAGUGUAGGUGGACAGUUAAGUCAGUUGUGAAAGUUUGCGGCUCAACCGUAAAAUUGCAGUUGAUACUGGCUGUCUUGAGUUCAGUAGAUGGGCGGAAUUCGUGGUGUAGCGGUGAAAUGCUUAGAUAUCACGAAGAACUCCGAUUGCGAAGGCAGCUCACUGGACUGCAACUGACACUGAUGCUCGAAAGUGUGGGUAUCAAACAGGAUUAGAUACCCUGGUAGUCCACACAGUAAACGAUGAAUACUCGCUGUUUGCGAUAUACAGUAAGCGGCCAAGCGAAAGCAUUAAGUAUUCCACCUGGGGAGUACGCGCGCAAGUGUGAAACUUAAAGGAAUUGACGGGG
RNAcentral lists this ribosomal RNA (391 nucleotides) under uncultured bacterium. RNAcentral describes it as "partial 16S ribosomal RNA". It matches the Rfam family "Bacterial small subunit ribosomal RNA", at positions 523 to 918 of the family's 1533-position model. The record is from RNAcentral.